This is a long non-coding RNA of Hydra vulgaris (swiftwater hydra), 422 nucleotides long. RefSeq lists it as uncharacterized. The record is from RefSeq and is a predicted model, not a curated record. NCBI's taxonomy places the organism in Eukaryota, Metazoa, Cnidaria, Hydrozoa, Anthoathecata, Hydridae.
UUGUGUUGAUCACAAUGUAUAGUUUUAAAUUAAUUGGAAUAUAUUUUCAUAUUUUUUAUAUGCAGUAUUUCAUUGGCAUAUUUUUUGAAACAACAGGAUUAUUUAAUGCCAUCAUCGAGUUUAUGAUUUGUGAUGUAUUGGAUAAACAACCUAUAUCCUCACAAAUUUAUACUUAUUGUACGAUUUCUUUACUUUUGGCUAUUUUUGGGUGACUUGGUUGUAAUAAGUAAAUUUAUCAGAUGCAUCUUGACAUGCAGAAAAAUAUGGAUUUCGAGAAGUACUUAACAUUAGUUCAUGCAAGCAUCAAGUUGAAAUGAUGGUAGAAUUUUAACCAUACGCUAACCUGAAACUUUUAUAUGUAUAGUAUUGCAAAGCUAUUUAAUUAAAAUAAAAAUUUGGAAAUAUAAAAUUUAUUGCUAAAA